CCUACGGGUGGCAGCAGUGAGGAAUAUUGGUCAAUGGACGAGAGUCUGAACCAGCCAAGUAGCGUGAAGGAUGACUGCCCUAUGGGUUGUAAACUUCUUUUAUAUGGGAAUAAAAUGUUGCACGUGUGGGAUUUUGUAUGUACCAUAUGAAUAAGGAUAGGCUAACUCCGUGCCAGCAGCCGCGGUAAUACGGAGGAUCCGAGCGUUAUCCGGAUUUAUUGGGUUUAAAGGGAGCGUAGGUGGAUUGUUAAGUCAGUUGUGAAAGUUUGCGGCUCAACCGUAAAAUUGCAGUUGAAACUGGCAGUCUUGAGUACAGUAGAGGUGAGCGGAAUUCGUGGUGUAGCGGUGAAAUGCUUAGAUAUCACGAAGAACUCCGAUUGCGAAGGCAGUUCACUGGACUGCAACUGACACUGAGGCUCGAAAGUGUGGGUAUCAAACAGGAUUAGAUACCCGUGUAGUC
This 460-nucleotide ribosomal RNA is filed under the name uncultured bacterium. RNAcentral's name for it is "partial 16S ribosomal RNA". It matches the Rfam family "Bacterial small subunit ribosomal RNA", at positions 338 to 795 of the family's 1533-position model. The record is from RNAcentral.